This is a long non-coding RNA of Toxotes jaculatrix (banded archerfish), 596 nucleotides long. RefSeq lists it as uncharacterized. The transcript has 4 exons. The record is from RefSeq and is a predicted model, not a curated record. NCBI's taxonomy places the organism in Eukaryota, Metazoa, Chordata, Actinopteri, Toxotidae.
GAAAUGUAUUACCGAUCUUACCAAAACUGUGCACGCGCCCCCGAUCACAAAACAGGCGACGAAUCCCUUCAGACGCGUGCCCCAUCCCAAAGUGGAGGCUUCGUUCACUGUCUGCAGGGACACAGAUUCAGAUUUACCUGCCAGAACCAGCUUCCCUGCAGGAUGGUGAGGGUACACCGCAGCAGCUCCAGAAUGAUGUUGCCUCGGUGAAAGACCUCAAGGGAGGCGACAAGAGCCUCUCCAAAGAUGGCGUAGAGCAGCAGAUGGUGUACGUGGACGUCCAGCAUACUUCUGCCGUGAAGGUGGUAGAGGAAAAGAAAUCCUGCAAAAACAAAUGAAAGGCAUCAUGGACAAAAGUGAGUGAUUCCCGGCCAGAACUGCUUGUACCCCAGAGAGCACUUUUCCAGUUACCGACAUGGAAAUGAGUCUGCUGUAAUCCGAAUAUGAUCAAAGCAGUGGGGAUACAGAGACCUGCUUACCAAUAAGAGAGAAGAAGAGUAUGACGGAGCUUUCGAUGAUCUCCAAGCGGCGCUGUGAGGCUCUGCUGGCCAGUCGAGUGGAGCCUAUGUUCUUGUUCCUGCGGGUGGCGUGCCAGA